This 211-nucleotide unclassified non-coding RNA is filed under the name soil metagenome. RNAcentral describes it as "partial contains 5.8S ribosomal RNA, internal transcribed spacer 2, and large subunit ribosomal RNA". The record is from RNAcentral.
AACGAGGCCGACCUGCGGCUGAGUUACCUGCGGAAGGAUCAUUACCGAGUUUACAACUCCCAAACCCCUGUGAACAUACCACUUGUUGCCUCGGCGGAUCAGCCCGCUCCCGGUAAAACGGGACGGCCCGCCAGAGGACCCCUAAACUCUGUUUCUAUAUGUAACUUCUGAGUAAAACCAUAAAUAAAUCAAAACUUUUAACAACGGAUCU